RNAcentral lists this small RNA (119 nucleotides) under uncultured Gellertiella sp. RNAcentral describes it as "Alphaproteobacterial ar15". It matches the Rfam family "Alphaproteobacterial ar15". Lineage: Bacteria; Pseudomonadati; Pseudomonadota; Alphaproteobacteria; Hyphomicrobiales; Rhizobiaceae. The record is from RNAcentral.
AGUUGAUGCACCCGGUGGUUUUUUCCUCCCAGUGCCACCGCAUCAGCUGUUCCCCUCUGGAGGUUUUAUUAGACCUUCAAAACUAUACGGGCCUCGGAGAAAUCCUGAGGCCCUUUUUU